CCGGCCUUAGCUCCGUUGGUAGUAGCGGCAGACUGUAGGGGCGCCUCCGACGUGAUCACGGGCGGCACAGGCAUCUGUAGAUCCCUGGUUCAACUCCGGGAGGCCGGA
This is a non-coding RNA of Quaeritorhiza haematococci, 108 nucleotides long. The record is from the annotation of a GenBank genome assembly. Lineage: Eukaryota; Fungi; Chytridiomycota; Chytridiomycetes; Quaeritorhizaceae.